RNAcentral lists this ribosomal RNA (672 nucleotides) under Gambusia yucatana (Yucatan gambusia). Its description in RNAcentral is "partial small subunit ribosomal RNA". It matches the Rfam family "Bacterial small subunit ribosomal RNA", at positions 536 to 1515 of the family's 1533-position model. The record is from RNAcentral. Lineage: Eukaryota; Metazoa; Chordata; Actinopteri; Cyprinodontiformes; Poeciliidae.
GAGCCAAGUUGAUAGAAUACGGCGUAAAGCGUGGUUAAAAGCCCCCACUAAACUAAGACUAAACCCCUCCAAAGCUGUUAUACGCACCCGGAAGUAUGAAACUCAACUACGAAAGUGGCCUUAACUCCCCCUUGACCCCACGAAAGCUGCGAAACAAACUGGGAUUAGAUACCCCACUAUGCACAGCCAUAAACUUUGAUAGAAGACUACAAGUUCUAUCCGCCCGGGAACUACGAGCAUAAGCUUAAAACCCAAAGGACUUGGCGGUGCUUUAGACCCCCCUAGAGGAGCCUGUUCUAGAACCGAUAACCCCCGUUAGACCUCACCUUUUCUUGUUAAUUCCGCCUAUAUACCGCCGUCGUCAGCUUACCCUGUGAAGGACCAAUAGUAAGCAAAACUAGUAAAACCCAAAACGCCAGGUCGAGGUGUAGCAUACGAAAAGGAAAGAAAUGGGCUACAUUUCCUUCCCCUAGGAAACACGAAUUGUGCUAUGAAAUAACACAUGAAGGUGGAUUUAGCAGUAAGCAGAAAACAGAGUGUUCCGCUGAAACCGGCCCUGAAGCGCGCACACACCGCCCGUCACUCUCCCCAAGUUCUUAAACAUUAAUAACUAAUACCCCACCGGAACAAAGGGGAGGCAAGUCGUAACAUGGUAAGUGUACCGGAAGGUGC